RNAcentral lists this ribosomal RNA (431 nucleotides) under uncultured bacterium. RNAcentral describes it as "partial 16S ribosomal RNA". It matches the Rfam family "Bacterial small subunit ribosomal RNA", at positions 29 to 507 of the family's 1533-position model. The record is from RNAcentral.
AACGAACGCUGGCGGCAGGCCUAACACAUGCAAGUCGAGCGCCCUUUCGGGGGAGCGGCGGACGGGUGAGUAACGCGUGGGAAUAUGCCCUUCUCUACGGAAUAGCCUCGGGAAACUGAGAGUAAUACCGUAUACGCCCUAUGGGGGAAAGAUUUAUCGGGGAAGGAUUAGCCCGCGUUGGAUUAGGUAGUUGGUGGGGUAAUGGCCUACCAAGCCGACGAUCCAUAGCUGGUUUGAGAGGAUGAUCAGCCACACUGGGACUGAGACACGGCCCAGACUCCUACGGGAGGCAGCAGUGGGGAAUCUUAGACAAUGGGGGCAAACCUGAUCUAGCCAUGCCGCGUGAGUGAUGAAGGCCUUAGGGUUGUAAAGCUCUUUCAGCUGGGAAGAUAAUGACGGUACCAGCAGAAGAAGCCCCGGCUAACUCCGUG